GUUGGAUAUAUUGGCCACAUAAAAUAAUUUACCGACCAAAUAGGUGGUAAGAGACACGACACAUCUAUUUUAAAACAAAAAGAAACAGAAAAGGAAAAAAAAGCUUUGUCGACGAUUUCAAUCAUCCCCACCAUGCCGAUUGACGAUUCAGAAAGCAACAUCAAAACCAGUAAAAUCUUUACCGAUACCUUGAAGAUCUUCAACGAUGAUGGUAGCAGAUCGAUCGACGCUUCUUUCCCCAUCCAUGGCGAUUGACGAUUCAGAAAUCAAUUGAAGGUUCAGAAAUCAAAAUCAAAACCAGUAAAAACUGUAACGAUGGCUUGAAGAUCUUCGACGAUGACGGUAGCAAAUCGGGUUUGGAAACAAAAUCAAACCACGAAGUUUGAAACUCGUUAGAUCCAGGAAAGACUUCUCCUAUUCCUCACUCUUAAGGCUUCAGUGAGAAAAACGUUAAGUGAUAUUUGGGUUUCAAUUUGGCGAUUUCAGAAAUCUUUGGCCGAUUUGUGAUCAGAAUCGAAAGACAAUUAAACGGUAAAUAUAGUUUAAAGUUUUUAAUCAUUUGUUAAAAGUUAAUCUCAGAGUUUUAUUCACCAAAUAUAUUCAUGUAACAUUUGUUCUGGUUUUUGUUUCCGGUGAGAUUGGAAUGGUUUCCAAGAAUCCGACGAAGAAUCCGACGAAGUUCUGAAGCGGAACAUGUCAUUCUUCACUGGUAAAUAACAUAAUCUUAAAGUCUGUGAUACACCAAAUAUAUUCAUGUAACAUUUGUUCUGGUUUUUGUUUCCGGUGAGAUUGGAAUGGUUUCUAAGAAUCCGACGAAGAAUCCGACGAAGUUCUGAAGCGGAACAUGUCAUUCUUCACUGUUAAAAGUUUAAAGACACAUGUUUGUGCAGCUGAAGGACCAUGGGACAAAUACAUAACGCCAAAGCAAUACGAACCAAUAAGUGGCAUCGUAUAGUUUUCGCGUUUUGGCAGUGGAUCUGGUUCUUGGCCACUCGGAUUUUCAGAUUGGUGACUCUAUGCAUGUAAAAGCUUCGUUUUGGGAUGAGAUCCCGACUGUGUCGGCGACACUCUCUAGCGAAGGAAGCCAAAGUGGUGAAGAUGGCGAUUUCGGUGACUUUUUCGGAUGAGAUCUCGGGACUUUUCCGAUGACGCUCUCCGUUUGGAAAGAGCGCUGGGUUCGAUGAUAGGUGUGGUAGGUUUGGACGUCUCCUGGUGAAAUGGCGGUGGUUGUCUCCGAGGUGGACUCGUAGUGAUGAACCUGUGUUUUUGGUUUUCUAUGUAAAACACAUAACUCAUCCAUGUAUUUUGUAUUUGACUUAUGCUAUGUUUACACAACUCAAAUGUGUCGUUUAUAAAUCUCAGUCGUGUCGUUUAUAUAUCUCAGCCGUGU
This is a long non-coding RNA of Raphanus sativus (radish), 1390 nucleotides long. RefSeq lists it as uncharacterized. Lineage: Eukaryota; Viridiplantae; Streptophyta; Magnoliopsida; Brassicales; Brassicaceae. The record is from RefSeq and is a predicted model, not a curated record. The transcript is spliced from 4 exons.